Trematomus bernacchii (emerald rockcod) is the source of this 509-nucleotide long non-coding RNA. RefSeq lists it as uncharacterized. The transcript is spliced from 5 exons. The record is from RefSeq and is a predicted model, not a curated record. NCBI's taxonomy places the organism in Eukaryota, Metazoa, Chordata, Actinopteri, Perciformes, Nototheniidae.
CCCCCCCUCCCUGCUGGGGAAUAAAGUGGCUACAGUGAUGGCAGGGCGGGGCAGGAACCGAGCAGGGUGACUGGAGAGGGCUAAGGUCUCCUCCAGAGUGAUCCCUCUCCCCCAAUGCACCCCCACAGUCUGAGGUGUUGGAUAACGCUGAUGCAGAGAGAAAUAAGAUGACUAAAUCACCUGCAGGUGACCAUGAUGGCUGAGCACUAGGCACUGAUCCUGAUGCUGCCGUGACUUCAUGAGGAUGUCUCACUUCAAGGCAUCAAUCUGCCCAUGAGAUCUAAUCCGAUGUCCUUGGGAUGCAGAGGCUCCAUGUAACAUGAGGUGCAGUGCGUUGAAGGCAGCAGCAAGAUGGUGAAGGAGGACAGGAGGAUGUAAAGCUCUGAGUCGUAGCGACUGGAGAAAGUGCUAUACGAGUACCGUCAGAGUUCUCUGUAAAGGAUUUCUUACAAACUGUACAGCUGAACGGUUUCUCUCCGAAACAAUUGUUGAAAUAAACAUCUUACACA